AAUGAACGUUGGCGGCGUGGAUUAGGCAUGCAAGUCGAGCGGUAGGGAAUCACUCACUUCAAGCUGUUGGCGAAUAGCUGAGAGCUUUGAGGUGAGUGGUUCCUGAGAGCGGCGAAAGGGAGAGUAACGCGUAGUUAUGUGCCCCGAGGACCGGAAUAGCCACGGGAAACUGUGGGUAAUGCCGGAUAAUAUCUCUGGAUCAAAGGUGUGAUUCCGCCUUGGGAGCAGACUGCGUCGUACUAGCUAGUUGGUAGGGUAAUGGCCUACCAAGGCGAUGAUGCGUAGCGGGUGUGAGAGCAUGACCCGUCUCACUGGGACUGAGACACUGCCCAGACACCUACGGGUGGCUGCAGUCGAGAAUCUUCGGCAAUGGGCGAAAGCCUGACCGAGCGACGCCGCGUGUGGGAUGAAGGCCUUCGGGUUGUAAACCACUGUCGUAGAGGAGGAAAUCAUCGGGGGUUCUCCCCCGGAGUUGACCUAUUCUAGGAGGAAGGACGGGCUAAGUACGUGCCAGCAGCCGCGGUAAAAC
This 529-nucleotide ribosomal RNA is filed under the name uncultured bacterium. Its description in RNAcentral is "bacterial SSU rRNA". It matches the Rfam family "Bacterial small subunit ribosomal RNA", at positions 29 to 526 of the family's 1533-position model. The record is from RNAcentral.